CCCCUUUCCGGCAGGUGCCGCCCCCCUCCCUCGCCGCCCCCCCCGCCCGGCGCUGGAUAAGGAUGAGGCCAUUCAGAAGCUGGAGAGUCUGGAGAAGAAGGAGGAGGAGGUGACAUCGGAGGAGGAAGAGGAGAAGGAGGAGGAGGAAGAAGGGAAGGAAGAGGAGGAGGAGGAGUACGAUGAGGAGGAGCACGAAGAGGAGACCGAUUACAUCCUCUCGUACUUUGACAACGGCGAAGACUUUGGGGGGGACAGCGAUGACAACAUGGACGAGGCCGUGUACUGACCCCCCCGGACCCCUGUCACCCCCCACGGACAUUGGGGUCCCCAACACCAGC
Molecule: long non-coding RNA, 338 nt
Organism: Cuculus canorus (common cuckoo)
Lineage: Eukaryota; Metazoa; Chordata; Aves; Cuculiformes; Cuculidae
Exons: 3
Source: RefSeq, a predicted model, not a curated record